GCCGUUAUGCAUGCCCUUUCGAACGGUCUUAAGCAAUUAAGAUAGUGCCGAACGGGUGAGUAACGCGUAAGUAACCUACCUCUAAGUGGGGGAUAGCUUCGGGAAACUGAAGGUAAUACCGCAUGUGGUGGACCGACAUAUGUUGGUUCACUAAAGCCGUAAGGCGCUUGGUGAGGGGCUUGCGUCCGAUUAGCUAGUUCGUGGGGUAAUGGCCUACCAAGGCUUCGAUCGGUAGCUGGUCUGAGAGGAUGAUCAGCCACACUGGGACUGAGACACGGCCCAGACUCCUACGGGAGGCAGCAGCAAGGAAUCUUGGGCAAUGGGCGAAAGCCUGACCCAGCAACGCCGCGUGAGGGAUGAAGGCUUUCGGGUUGUAAACCUCUUUUCAUAGGGAAGAAUAAUGACGGUACCUGUGGAAUAAGCUUCGGCUAACUACGUG
RNAcentral lists this ribosomal RNA (439 nucleotides) under uncultured bacterium. RNAcentral's name for it is "bacterial SSU rRNA". It matches the Rfam family "Bacterial small subunit ribosomal RNA", at positions 46 to 507 of the family's 1533-position model. The record is from RNAcentral.